This 23311-nucleotide long non-coding RNA is filed under the name Capsicum annuum. RNAcentral's name for it is "long non-coding RNA (CANN_LNC019584)". The record is from RNAcentral. Lineage: Eukaryota; Viridiplantae; Streptophyta; Magnoliopsida; Solanales; Solanaceae.
CAAAAUAAGAAGGGUUUGUUCGUCCUCCGUAAUAUGAAGAGUUUUGACUUCGCCCACCUCUGCCACGUCCUCUGACUGUUUGCCAGGGUGGAUCCAUGCUACAUCAAUAAUCAGAAAUUUGAUUAGUAUACCAUAACAUAUAUUCGAAUAGAUCUUCAUAAAGUGUGUCCUUUGUGAUAAGAUUAACAAUGACCUUUUGUAAUAUAAGCAUGUGCAUAUCCGCAUUUAAAGGAGUUGCUUUUAUAAAAGUGAUUAAGAAUUUUUUAGAGAAGAACUGUAGAAAGAGCUUCAUUAUUCCUUUUAAUCCUGUAAAUAUUAAUCACUUAAGUCAAUAUCAAACCAAUAAAUAUCAUUAUCAAGAAAUUCAUCGUGAUUAAAGAAUAAUUCUUCUUCUAUUAUACCACAAACAAGUUUUUCUAAGAUAAGAAAAUGAAUAUCUUCAUUUAAAGGAAUUCAUUUGAUAACAGUAAUUAUGGUUUUUUCAGAGAGAAAGUACGUGUAAAAAUUCAUGUUAAUCGAUUAAAUAUUCUCUAGAUAGAAAAUCCGACAAAGAAUUUUCGCUACCCUUCUUAUAUUGAAUUUCAAAAUCAAAAGGGGCUAAUUGAGCUUGCGACAUUGCAAAGAUUAAUUUAGAGGAAUCAUGUUUAAAGUCUUUGUUGAACAUGUAUUUUACAGAUUGAGCAUCUUCCUAACUAUAAAUUUUUUAUCAUAUAAAUCAUCUUGGAAUUUUAAAACACAUUUUACAAUAGUAAGCAUUUCAUGAGCCACAGUAGCAUAUUUUUUCUGACUUUCAGACCAUUUACCAAAAUGAAAUCUAACUAAACAUCUAGUGUUUGUAUGGGGAUUAACUUGUUUAAGUAUUCCUCCAUAACCAAUAUUUGAAGCAUCAGUUUCAAUUAUUUUUAACCAAGAAGGAUUAGCUAAGGUUAAACACGGAAGAGUUUGAACUCAUUUUUUGAUUAUUUUAACCAAAUCAGUGUGAACUUGAGUCCAGGGUGUUUUAUUAUUCUUUUUCAGUCUAUCAUAUAAAUGAGCUAAAUCUCUGGAUAGAUUUUCAUAAAAAGGAGAGAUGUAAUUAAGACUACCAAGAAAUCUUUGUAACUGAGUUUUAUCAGUAAUUAUAUCCGGGAAUGUCUUAGCAAAGUCCAUAGCUCUUUGUAUGGGCUCAAUAGUACCUUGGCUAAUAUUAUGACCUAGAAAUCUAACAUUUGUUUGAAACAAGGACAUUUUUGGUUUAGAAACAACCAAACUAUUUUGUAAUACUAUUUGUUUGAACAUAUUAAGAUGUUUAAACUGUAAAUCAAGCGUUUUUGAGAAUACAAGAAUGUCAUCAAUGUAGACAAUUAUAAAAUCCAUAUAAGAAUUAAAUAUAUCAUUCAUAAUCUUCUGAGAUUCAGAAGGAGUAUUUUUCAAGCCAAAAGGCAUAACAUUCCAUUCAUAUUGUCCAAAAGGGACAUUAAAAACAGUUCUAUUAGUAUGAUUUUUAUCAAUUUGAAUUUUUCAAUAACCAGAUUUAAGGUCAAAUUUAGAAAAUAUGUUGGCAUCAUGUAGUCUAGCAAGCAAGUCUUUUUUAUUAGGUAUUGGGUACCUAAUCCAUUUUAAAACUUUAUUCAGGGGUUAUAAUAAUAAUAAUAAUAAUAACAAUAUUAAUAGGAUCUCACUAGGCUAGGGUAUACUGCUCAGCCUGCCAGACCUAUAUAACAAUACCGGGUUUAACCAUAGUCGAACAACUGAACCAAAAGCACCGAUCAAAAUACAAAAUUUUUUUUACAUAACUUGAUGACUGUAUGGAACCUUUUACCCAAACAAGGGGCCUGUCAAAGAUUCAACAAAUUUAUGUUAAACCCAUGUGUCUAGAAGUUCUAAUUGUGCAAAAAUUCAUUCUUUCUUCUUUAGUAUAAUGGGCUAAAGAGGCACAACUUACUAGACGUAAUCACUGAGACAAGGUCAACAUAAACUAUUAAACUCGACUGUACCACCAUUUUGGAACCAAGUAUGUUUGUGUUUGAUAAUGUUAUAAUAUAACGUUUGUGUGAAUGCCUUAAUAUAAUCCCAAUACAUAAAAGUUAUUUAUGAUUGUCCCAUUGGUCCCAUUGACAUAGUUUUUUGAGUCAUGGAGGUAAUUCCCCAUUCUUCUAUGGAAAUAAGCUUUUUGAUGAUCAUUUUGGAGUAUCCAUGUACUCCUGGGGUAGUUUCUCCCAUUACUGCCGGUUUGAACAAGAAUUGAUUCAUAAAAAGUUCUUGUUUUUUAUGAUUCUCCUGCAAAGUAGACAUUAGUGAGCAAGUAUUUUUGAAGUAAUUUCCAUGCUUCGUCAGGGCUGUCUUGAUUAGGUAUAUGAGAGUUUUCAAUAAGAAGUAUCAAUUCUCUGGCUUCGAGCUUUUCGUAUGUUGGCUUAUCUGCAGUAUUUUCUUGGAUUAUUGAAGCAAAUGAGUCUGCUUACUUAUCAAAAAUAUAAUAUUGAAUUUGUUUAUAUAAUAGAUGAUUCUCUAAAAUAUCUUCUAGAUGGAUCGAUGUGCCAAUAGGCUGAGUUUUCGAUGAUUCUACCAUAUUCAGAAUUUUUGCAUUAAUCAAAGUUUUGUUUCCCUGUUGUAAUACUGGGAAAUUCAAACUUUCUGAGCUAUAUGUUGAGUUAUUUCUGUUUCCAUAUGAAGGAUUCUAUCUUCCUCCAUAAUAAGAAGUAUAAUUUUGAUUUCAACCACCUCUUCCGCAUCCUCUGGCUAUUUGCCAGGGCGAAUCCAUUCUGUAAAAGACAUUAGUAUUGGUCAAAUGAUGAAUCAAAAUCAUCCCAGUCAAUUUUGUCUCGUCUAUCUUCAAGAUUAGGAAGAUUUAAAUUAUAUUCAAUUAUUUUACGGAUGAGUUUUUCUAAGAUAAAAAAAUGAAUAUCUUCAUUCAAAGGAAUACAUUUAAUAAUUGUGAUAACAGUUUUUUCAGAGAGAUAGUAAGUAUACAAAUUCAUUAGUUGUUGAAGUAUUCUUUGGAGAGAAAAUCGGGCAAACAAUUUUCACUUACCUUUUUAUAUUGUAUCUUAAAAUCAAAGGGGUCUAGAUGGGCCUUCCACCUGUUAAAUAUUAAUUUAGAAGCAUCAUGUUUAAAGUCUUUAUCAAACAUGUAUUUAACAGAUUGGGCAUCAGUUCUAACUAUAAAUCUUUGGUUAUAUGAAUCAUCUUGAAAUUUUAAAACACACUUAGCAAUAGUUAACAUUUGAUGGGCCACAAUGGCGUACUUUUUCUGACUUUCAGACCAUUUUCCCGAAUGGAAUCUAAUAAGACGUUCAGUUUUAUCCUAGGGAUUUACUUGUUUAAGUAUUCCACCAUAACCAAUAUUGGAUGCAUCGGUCUUGAUGAUUUUUAACCAAUCAGGGUUAGUUUGAACUCAUUUUUUAAUUAAUUUAACGAGAUCAGUGUGGACUUGAGUCCAAGGGUUUUUAUAAUCCUUCUUUAGCCUAUCAUAUAACGGGGCUAAAUCUCUAGACAGAUAUUUAUAAAAAUGAGAAAUAUAGUUAAGACUUCCAAGAAAUCUCUGCAACUGAGUUUUAUCAGUAAUAAUAUCAGAGAAUUUUUUAGCAAAGUUCAAAGUUCUUUGUAUGGGAUGAAUAGUGCCUUGCGAAUAUUAUGUCCUAGAAACCGGACAUUCGUCUGAAACAAGCUCAUUUUUGGCUUAGAAAUAACCAAACCAUUUUGUAAAACAAUUUGUUUGAACAUGUUUAGGUGUUUAAAAUGUGAUUCAAGCGUUUUUGAGAACACAAGAAUAUCAUCAAUGUAGACAAUUAUAAAAUCCAUAUAAGGAUUAAAUAUGUCAUUCAUAAUUUUUUUGAAAUUCAGAAGGAGCAUUUUUCAAAUCAAAUGGCAUAACAUAACAUUCAUAUUGUCCAAAAGGGACGUUAAAAGUAGUUCUAUAAGUAUGAUUUUUAUCAAUUUGAAUUUUUCAAUAACCAGAUUUAAGGUCAAAUUUAGAAAAUAUGUUGGCAUCAUAUAGUCUAGAAAGCAAGUCUUUUUUAUUAGGUAUUGGGUACCUAAUCCAUUUUAAAACUUUAUUCAGGGGUUUAUAAUUAAUGACUAGUCUAGGCAUACCACGUUCCUACUCAGCAACAUUAUUGACAUAGAAGGGAGUACAAGACCAAGGGGAUUUUGAGGAUUUUACAAGACCUUUUUGCAAAACACUAUCAAUCUUUUUUUUUUACAGAAUUCUACUAACUCUGUAUUCAUUUGGCAGGGUCAAGAUUUUAUGGGUAUUUUUUCUUCACUGAAAUCAUCUUCAUAAGGAAGAGAAACAAUAUGUUUCUUGCGAUCCCAGGAGGCAUUUGGGUGAUCAGCACAAAUAUCAAUAGUCAAUUGAUCAGAAAUCAUUUUUAUUUUUUCUUGGACUUUUACAUACUUCAUUGACUCAUGAAUAUUCAUACUCAUUAUUUCCAAUUGUAAGAAAUUUUCCUAUCGUUGCUUCAUACUAAUUAGAGCAUUUAUAUCUCUUGUUGCAGGAUCAGUAACAAAAGGAAAAGAAGUUUCUUUAUUUUUAUAAGUAACCUUAAAACUAGUCGCAUCGAUAUGCGUAUAAGGAUAAAUAACAUAUAUAACUGAUUUUUUUACCAAAAAAAUAAAAUGCGGAAUGCAAACCUUAUUUCGACAUAUAUGAGUACUAGGCAAUUUAUAGUUAAUAUCAAGUUUAUGACCAGAUGCAGACUUAAUUAUAUGGGUAAUUUUUUUAAAAUAUUUGGUUGGAAUUAAACCUUCUUGAAUGCAGCUGACAUCAACACCACUAUCAAUCAUAGCUAUAUUAGUGAUGGAAAAUUCGUUAUUAAUUAAUAUAGUGCAAUUUAUAUACCAUUUAUGAGCAGUAAUAAUUUGCACUAUCAUACCCAAGAAAUAAUCAUUCUUUGAAUCUAUUUUCUGAAUAAUAUUAUCCAUAUUUUGAGAAUUUUUAAAAUCCUUUUCUUUCCCUUUAGAAUUAGAAGAAGUAGUAUUUUCAGAAAUGUUAGAAAUAUCUUCUUCAAUUUUCAAAAUCCUAUGAUCUGAGACCAUCUGAUUUCGCUUUAAAGAGAUAAUUUCCUUCUUUAAAUUUUCAACUUCUGUUUUCAAAUCAUCAAAAUUUGUAUCUCUUCCUGGAGUUUGACUAAUAGCGAGUCUUCUAUUGACUUCGUAAAUAGAAUAAGGCAUGAUAUCAAUAUUAGAGUCAGUAUUUUUCUUGACAUAUUUACUAUUGGUAGGUUUAGUAUUACUAGAAUUGUUGGUUGAUGUAGAAGCAAGAUCAAUAAUGUUUUGACGAAGCUUCUCAUCAGUUACUUCUUUUAGUAAUUCUAAAGUGCUAUCAGCAAUAAUUGUGCAAACAUUUAACUCUAAAUCUUCAAUUUGAGAUUGAAGUUUAUAAAAUGCAUCAUCACAAUCACAAUUAUCAGCAUUACAAUCAGAACAACAUUAGUCGUAGGUUUUUCAUUAUCAGAAGAAUUAGGUAAAUCAAUAUCAUUUUUAGAUUAGAUUCAUAAUCGAAUUCAGAACCAGAAGUAUAUAAUAAACCAUAGACUUGGUCAUGCAUCUCAUCAGAGAGUGCUAAAGACUUGAGUUUUUGAAGUUUACCAUUGGGAGCUAUAUGACCAUAUUGGUUGCACCUAUAACACUUGAUUUUUGCUAGGUCUUUCUUAGACUUAUUUUUCGUAAAUCUAGUAGACUUACGAUUGAAUUUUUUAACUUCACGCUCAUCUUUGGAUCUACGUCUAGAUCUUUUUAUUCUAUAGAAUUUGUCAGGAUUAUCGUAUCCACGACCCUUUCUUCUAGUAAAAGAAGGAUUUUCCAUACGAAAUUGUCCAUAAAAAUCACCUAAUUGGGUUUUUUUCUCUAAUUCUAUCUAGCUUAAUUUGUCUAGAUAGUUUCAAUUCAUUACAGAAUUUUAGACCUUCUUCAGUACAAGAUGCUAGAAGUUGUCCAUAAGUGAAAUCUGUCCAAGAGAUUGCACCAUCUUGACCUUUGAUGGCUUUUCUAACUCUUUCAGCAAAAAGUGGUGGAAGACCAUCUACAAAUCUAGCCUUCCAAUGUUCAAGUCUAGAUUCGGGCAGAUCCAUGACCCUAGAAAGAAAAGUAUCUUUAUACCAUCUAAAUUCGUCCAAAUGUCUACACCUUAGACUAUUUAAGAGGGUACGAGUGUUUUCAUGUUGGUUAGUAAAUCUACCCCCAAAGUGUUGAAUUAUGAUAAGCAUAAGGGUAUAUACGGCAUCUUCUCUAUUUGCUGAAAGAUCUCUACCUAGGUUAUCUAUCCCAGGCAAGAGGUUUCUGGCUUCAUAAAUCUUAUUUCUUUCAUCAUUAGAAAGGAGAUUAUCCCACCAGCCCCGAAGUUGGCCAGUAAAACCUGCAAUAAUCAUUUUAUAUAUAGUAGCAUCUGUGCGAAUAUGUGCACCUGCAUCGUCUUUAGGGCUAGAAACUUUUGUAAUAGUAGAAUACAUUAACAUACGAUGAACCAAAAUAGAUAAUUGUCUUUCAGAUAAUCCAUCUAAAUUCCUUUCAUAAAUAUGUUCUCCACUAUACGAAGUGUUUGUGAGGGACUAAUCUCUUUCUUCAAUCAUAACAUCUUGAGGAGUUGGUCGUGGGUAAUAAGCAGUUUGCAUUCAAGGAAUAUCAACAUAUUUCUUCCCCGGCUGUUUUCAUACCAAACCUCUGAGUUUAUUCAACUCUGAGUGAAUUUCUACUCCUACCGAAGGGGUUUUGGUAUCAUCAAAAUUAUUAGUUAAGGAUUCUAUAGUAUCAACAAAAUUAUUAGACUAAUCAAUGGGUUUUAUAUUUAAACUAGAAAAUUUCUUUUCAAAUAAUUUUUCAAGUUGUUCUAGAUCAGAGGGUUUUCUAAAUCCUUCAAUGUCAAUGUUAGGAGGUCUUUGAAUACGAGGCUUAGCUGUCAAGUCUUCUGUCUUGCUUUUUGAUGUAGAUGCAAUAUUAGAAGACUUUUGACUAUCACUUAGCCCUUUGAUUAGAUCAGUCAUCACAUCAAGUUUUUUAUCAAGAGAGGAAAUAUGUUCUCCCAGAGCCUUUACAUAAAGACUCAGAUAGUUAGUUUGAGCGAUUAGACUAUUCAUUUCAGAAAUAGUGAUUUUUCCAACUUCAUUAUCAAUAAAUUGUUAAAAGGCAGAGAAGGUUAGACCUGUAUUAUUAGGCAAUAUAAAAGAUGAUUGAGUAGGAUAAAUAACUUGUGUUAUAGUACCAUUUGAAUCUUGAUAAGAUCUUUCAAUAACCUUGACAUACAAAGGCAAAUAUGUAGACAUAAACCAUGGCACAAAGUAAACAUUUUGACUAUGCAAUGCACACAUUUCAUAAAAUUCUUCAGAGAUGUUUUUUAAUUCAUCAGAACAAUAUACUUCAAAAAACCAAGUUCUAAAAGUUUUCCAUUUUGCAGAGAAGAAUUCCUUUUUAAUAUAAUUUCUUGCCUGUGUUCCAGGACUAAAAUCAAUUAGUUGUGUCAUCAUAAUUUAAACAGAGUUAAUAUCAAAUUCCAUUUCAGAUGGAGUAGGAUUUUCAUUAUCAAAAUCUUGAACUAUAUUAUUUUUAGGAUUUAUUUUAAUUUUUUCUACACUUCUAGGUGUAACAUGCGAUUCUGCAGAAUUUAUAGUAUGCAAAGAUGCAACAAUAUUCCUAGACAGACCAUAAACUGGUUUGACUGGGAAAAUAUAGGUCAUAGCAAGCAACAUCCUAGGAAUAGAAAAGGAAUUUCGAUUGUAAACAGUAGAAUUAUCAUCAAAUUAUAGACAAAUUCUCCCAUCAGUAUUUUGAUACAUGAGUUAACUCUUUAUUCGUCACAUCCUCUGCAAGUUGCUUUGGAGAAAUGACAGAAUUUAAAAUCCAAGUUUUUGGGAAAUUAAGUUCAUCCCACUUAAUAGGUCUUCUUGUAGUGACCCUGGAUUUUGUAAAAUUUAUUUCAAUUAGUAUGGUAUAAUCUGAAGCAUCAUCAACCAAUUUACAUAGGAUUCAUAGUGGAUAAUAAGCGAAAAUAAAUAUGAUAUGAUAAACAAAUAAGUUCAGAUCCUGAUCCAUAAUUGUAACCAUGGGUUUUUACAUUUAGAGCUAAAGCAUCAAGAAUAUUUACAUCAGUCAAAGAUAACUGUAGAUUUGGUUAAGUAUUAAAAUAUGCAGGGCCAGAUGCAAGAGUGGACUCAAUAGAUCCCAUCAGAGACUGUCUAAAAUUUAAAUUUCUAGCAUCGAGUUGGGUAGCUAGAAAGGUCUCUGGGAGUCCUUUUAAAGUUAGGUGCUUAAAAGCAAUCUGUACCAAGCCAAUAUGCAUAAAAUUAUAAUGAUUUUUAAAUAUAUCAAUAUCAUGUUUAUUAGGCAGUUUAAUAGUUUGUUCAUCAACAUUUAAGGCAAUAGAUUGUUUAGUGGUUUUUAUUAGUUAUUUGUAUUUGAAUUUAUCAAGAAAUCCAUAUUCAUAAAUAGUAUUUAAUUUUACUUGAGAAAUUGUCCAUUUAUUUAAUAAGUCCAUAUUUUGAGGUAAAUCUACCUCUUCAAGUUUAGUACCUUUCAUACUAACUUCUCCCAUAUCUAUGAUUAUGAAACCUUAUACCAUAUGCUAAAAAACUUCACCUCACUUACAAAAUUACUAUUAAAGUUCCUAGGCUCUGAUAAUAAUGGUGGUGGUGGUGGUGGUGGUGGUGGUGCAGAAGGUAACAAAUAUUAUAGGGGUAACCGCUAGUGAGAGUGCUGAGUUAUCUGCCUAUCAGUUGUAGGAUGUAGCUCAUACAUGGUUUAAGCAGUGGAAGACAGAUAGGGCAGCAGAUGCAGGGCCUAUAGAAUGGGAGGAGUUUGCUACUUUCUUCCCGUUGGAGUUGAAGGAAGCCAAGGUUUUAGAGUUCAUUAAUUUGAAGCAAGGCAACAUGACAAUGAAAGAGUAUUCUCUUAAGUUUACUCAGUUAGCCAGAUAUGCUCCUCAUGUGGCAGCGGAUAGCAGAUCUAAGAUGAGUAAGUUCAUGUCUGGUGUGUCUGACAGUGUGGUCAAAGAGUGUAGGACCACAAUACUAAUUAAGGAGAUAGACUUAGCUAGGUUAAUAGUCCAUGUUCAACAGAUAGAGAAGCAGAAGACUAAAGAGAAAGAGAGGGAGAGCAAGAGGGCUAGAACAGGUGGUUCAACUUCACUCAGCCUAAGUCAGAGGGUGGUAAUCGUUCUCAGUUUCACACAAAAUCUUUAGUUUCAACUCUGUCCUCAACCAGUGCUUCGGUGCCUAAAUUCAAAAAUGGUAAUAAGGAUAGGGUACCAGGCUCUAAAUCUCAAGGUAUUGUUAGCAGUACCCAAACAAAUCCUUUUUGCCAGAAGUAUGACAGAAACCAUCAGGGUGUCUGUAGAGCUGGCAGUGAUGUAUGUUUCGGAUAUGGCAAGCUAGGCCACAGGGUAAGAGAGUGUAUCCUCAGGUGGGCUCAUAGAGUCAGCAUAAUCGUCCCCCAGCUCAGUCCGGUUGCUCGUCUCAGUAGGGUUCCACUUCCAGUGCCACCAGUGGGCAAUGCCCAAAUAGGCUUUAUGCACCUCAGUCCUAAUAGGAUUAGGAAAGUUCUCUUGAUGUGAUCACUGGUACAUUACAAGUUUAUUAUUUACAUGUUUAUGCUUUGCUAGAUCCAGAAGCUUCUUUGUCCUUUGUAACUCCUUAUAUAGCUGUUGACUUUGGAGUUAAUCCUGAAUUCCUAGAAGAGCCCUUCUCAGUCUCUACCCCAGUAGAUAAAUCUAUCAUAGGUUGGUAAGUAUACAGGAACUGUAUGGUUAUGGUAUCUCUGAAAGUUACUUCAGCAGACUUAGUAGAGUUAGAGAUAACAGAUUUUGAUGUCAUUCUCGGCAUAGAUUGGAUUCAUUCAUGCUAUGCUUCAGUUUGACUAUAGAAAUAGAGUUGUCUAUUUUCAAUUCUCGAAUGAACCUGUCCUAGAAUGGAGGGGUAGUAAUUCAACGCUUAAGGGUCAACUUAUUUCCUACCUUAGAGAGAGGAAAAUGAUAUCUAAGGGGUGUGUCUAUCAUCUCGUUCGAGUUAAAGACUCUAGUUCUGAGACCCUUAAUCUGGAGUCAAUUUCAGUAGCAUGUGAAUUUCCAGAUGUGUUCCCCGAAGAUCUUCCCAGAGUUUCUCCCAAAAGGGGAAUUAACUUUGGAAUAGACCUUCUUUUAGAUACUCAGCCUAUCUCUAUUCCACCAUACAGAAUGGCUCCAGCAAAACUCAGAAAGUUAAAAAAUAGUUGAAGGAUCUCCUAGAUAAAGGAUUCAUCAAGCCCUGUUUUUCCCUGUAGGGCACCCAGUUCUAUUCGUGCAUAAGAAAGACGUUCUCUCAGAAUGUGUAUUGACUACCAUUUGUUGAACAAAGUCACAGUCAAGAAUAAGUAUCCACUUCCCAGAAUCGAUGACUUGUUUGACCAACUUCAGGGUGCCAAUUAUUUUUUUAAUAUAUACUCAGGUCAGGCUAUUAUCAACUUAGAGUUAGAGAAUGUGACAUUUCGAAACCAGCUUUUAAAACUCGGUAUGGUUACUUCAAAUUUCUAGUCAUGUCAUUUGGUCUUACCAAUGCUCUAGCAACUUUCAUGGACUUAAUGAACCGAGUGUUCAAGCAAUACUUGGACAUAUUCAUCAUAGUCUUUAUGAUGACAUUCUGGUCUACUCUCGCAGUGAAAAUGAUUAUGCAGACCAUCUCAGAAUAGUAUUACAGACUCUCAGAGCCCAUCAAUUAUUCACAAAAUUCAGUAAAUGCAAAUUUUAGCUAAGGUCAGUAGCUUUCCUUGGUCAUAUAGUUUCCAAUGAUGGCAUUAGAGUUGAUCCUCAAAAAACUAAAGCAGUGAGAAACUGGUCUAGACCUAUCUCUCCGUCAGAUAUCAAGAGUUUCUCGGGUUUGGCUGGCUAUUAUCGAUAGUUUGUUGAAGGAUUUUUGUCUAUUGUAUCCCCCAUGUCCAGAUUGACUCAUAAGAAAGUCAAGUUCCAGUGGUCAUAUUUUUAUGAGAAGAGUUUUAAAGAGUUGAAGAUUCGACUCACUACAACCCCAAUUUUGACUUUACCAGAUGGUUCAAAUGAAUUUAUUCUGUAUUGUGAUGCUUCCAGAGUUGGUCUGGGGUGUGUUUUGAUGCAGAAGGGUAAGGUAGUGGCCUAUACCUCUAGAUAGCUUAAGCCCCACAAAAAGAAUUACCCCACCCAUGAUCUUGAGUUAGCAGCUGUUGUGUUUGCCUUAAAGAUUUGGAGGCACUAUUUGUAUGGGGUUCCAUUUUAUGUGUUCAUAGACAACAAAAACCUACAGUAUGUAUUUUCGCAGAAAGAUUUGAACUAGCGUCAGAGAAGGUGGUUGGAGUUGUUUAAAGAUUAUGACAUGAGUGUUUUGUAUCACCUGGGCAAGGCCAAUGUAGUAAUUGAUGCUCUCAGCAGGUUGCCCAUUGGUAGUGUUUCUUACUUUGAGUAUGUUUAGAAUAAGUUAGUUCAGGAAGUUCACCAGCUUGCCAGGCUAGGUGUCCAUUUGGUUGAUUCGGCAGAAGGUAGUGUUUGGGUGCAGAAUGGUUUGGAAUCAUCUUUGGUUUUUGAAGUAAAAGAAAAAUAGGACAAAAGUACCAGUUUAGUUAAGUUGAAAGAGUUAGUCAGAGAUCAAAAAGUAAAGAUUUUCUCCCAAGAGGAAGAUGGUGUGUUGCAUUGUCAGGCUAGGUUAUGUGUUCCAUUUGUAGAUGGCGUGAGGCAGCGAAUUUUUGUAGAAGCGCGUGGUACGUGUUACUUGAUUCACACAGGGGCCACUAAGAUGUACCACAAUUUGCGAGAAGUCUAUUGGUGGAGUGAGAUGAAGAAACACAUUGCAGAGUUUGCGGCUUAGUACUAUACAUGCCAGCAGGUAAAGAUUAAGCACCAAAAGCCUAGUGGUUCUAUGCAGGAGUUCAGUAUCCCCACAUGGAAGUGGAAGAAAGUGAAACAUAGAUUUUGUGAUGGGCUUACCUCAUACUCGUUAUCAGCAUGAUUCGAUUUGGGUCAUCGUAGACAGGAUGACCAAAUCAGCCUAUUUUUUGCCAGUUCAUACCUCAUAUUCAACUAAGGACUAUCCCAGGAUCUAUAUCAAAGAUUUGUUCAAGUUGUACGAUGUCCCGUUGUCCAUCAUUUUGGAUAGAGCUACGCAGUUCACCACUUGCUUUUGGAACGCCUUCCAAAAGGGUCUUUGUACCUAAGUUUACCUCAGUACAGCUUUCCACCCUCAGACAGAUGGUUAUGCAGAAAGAAACAUUCAAACCUUAGAAGAUAUGUUGAGAGUGUGUAUCAUUGACUUUAUGGGUAGCUGGGAUGACCAAUUACCUUUGAUUGAGUUUGCGUAUAACAACAGCUAUUACUCUAGUAUUCAGAUGGCUGUAUUUGAGGUGCUUGGUUUGAGGUAGGCGAGACUGAUUUAGCAGGGCCUAACCUAGUAUUCAAUACCUUAGAAAAGGUUCAGCUGAUCAGGGAGAGGAUUAAGACAGCUCAGAGCCGAUAGAAAUCGUUUGCUAAUAUGAGAAGAAAGGAUCUCGAGUUUGAGGUUGGUGAUUAUGUGUAUUUGAAAAUCUCUCCCAUGAAGGGAGUGAAGAGAUUUGGCAAGAAGGGGAAGCUUAGUCCCUGAUAUUUUGGUCCUUAUAGGAUUCUCAAUGGCCUCGGCAAGGUAGCUUAUGAGCUUGAGUUACCUGCAGACUUAGCAUCAGUGCACCCAGUAUUUCAUGUCUCCUUGCUAAAGAAGUGCAUAGGUGACCCAGCAGUUAUAAUCCCUAUAGAGAGUAUAGAUGUUCAGAAUAGUCUCUCUUAUAAGAAAAUCCUAGUCAAAAUCCUUAAUCAUUAGAUUCGCAGACUAAGGAACAAAGAAGUUCCUUUGGUCAAAGUUCUUUGGCGGAAUCAGUCCGUUGAGGGGGCUACUUGGGAAGUAAAAGCAGAUAUGCAAACCAAGUAUCCUCACCUCUUCUCCGCAAACUCUAACUCAGCCUAAGGUAACGAUCUUCCUUAGAUUUACUCUAUCACAUGCUUAGUUAUAGAUGCAUAACAUUCUCAUAUCAUUCAUGCAUUCAUGAAAUAGUUCAGUCAUGUAUCAAGUUUUCAGAAUUUAAUCAUGCUUCAGUUAUGCAUGUCAGUGUAAGUACAGUUCAAUAGUUCCUCUUAGUUCAGCCAGUCUUAUUCGAGGACGAAUAUUCCCAAGGGGGAGAUAUUGUAAUACCCCAUAAAAUCCAAGUCAUUUCAGUCCUAACAACAUUACAAAAGAGGUCCCAGACUUAGAAAAAAUUCAGCUAAGUAUUGACACUUAAUCUCAUUUUUGGCCUUGAUAUUUCAAUGACUUUAUUUUUUAUCUUUCCGGCCUUGGAUUAUCAAUUUUUAAAUUAAUUUAUAAUCGGGGAUGUCAAUAGGUUAUGUUGGUGAGUUUCAGAAUUUUUGGACUUCGUUUAAGUCAUGUUUGGAUGCCCAAAAUAGUGCAUCAACGUGAUCAGGCCGCGAUGCAUCAAUAAUCGCGUCGGCAAGCACGUCGACACCAUUGAAGCGAUGCGUCAAGUAUCAUAUUGAUGGGAAAUUUCUGUGUAUUAAAAUCUAACUUUUCAAGGGCAAUUAGGUUCUUUUUCCCUCACCCAAUUCAGCUAAAACACGAGAUUAAACCCCAAAAAGGGCAAAAUUUAUUCUUUAUUCUCAAAAUCCUCACAUGAACAAACCCUGGUCCAUCAAAUUCAAGAUCAAGUUCCAAGAAAUUAUCUAGAGUCUAUAAUAAAUCAACAAUCAGGUUAUGUUAGGUGUUCAUCCUUGGGUUCCUUCCACCCUUGGAGUUCAAUAACCUUUUUUAAAACUACAAGUUUAUUGAUUUAUGAUUUACAUGUGCAAAUUGGGUUGUAUUCAUGUUUGUGUUGUUGUAUGAGUUUCAAUUCAAGAUUUUGUUAUGAGUUUCAUGAACAUAAGAUAGCAUGUAUGUUGAUGAAUGUAAUUCCCAUGUUACAAUCAUUGGAAUUGAAAGUUUAAGUUGUAGUCAUGAUGCUUAUGUGUUGUUCAUUAUUAUGUAUAACAAUCAUGCUCCCCAAGUGUUUGAUAGAAUGUCCAUGUGAAUUGAAUAGUGUAAUCAUGACAUGUUAGCAUGUGUUCUCAUUCAUGUAUGAGUUCAUGGCCUUCAAGUGUUUGGCAAAUUGCCCCAGUGAAUGAAUUAUGAACAAUUGACUAUUGCUAUACUUUCAAGAAUUACUAUGUUUUACCAUUUAUGCUAUCGAAUUCUGGGGGUAUUUAUUACCUAAAAUAUAGUUGUUUACUUAGUUGCAGUAGAUAUAGAAUAGUCUCAGUAAAGGUCAAGAACAGUAGUAUUUAAUAAGUUAACAGAACUCAGCGAACUCAGUCCAGUUCAGUUAGUCAACACGAUCAGUAAUAGUUCAGUCAAGCCUAGUACAGUCUAGUGAUUAGUUCAGUGUCUAUUCAAUUGGGAGUAGGAUUCAACACCGAGCGAACCCAGGGAUAGGGGCAUUCUUUCCAACAGAGGAUUUGACCCUUAGUAGCAGUCCUUAUAUUACAGAACUACAUUGCCAGCUUAGGGUAAGUCAUCCUCCUACCAAAUUAGGGUUGAUGCGAUCAUAUAUAUACAUUUCAUGAGUCUUCCUACCAGACUAGGUUUGACACAACAUUGUUAGUAUCCCUUGGCAAGGUGUUAACACUCUUCCAACGGGGUCACACGUUGGACCCCAACUCAUUCUAUAACUAGGGUAUGUCAGUUAGAUGAAUACUUUCAUAGUUACAGUUUUAGUAUUCAGUACUCAGUAAUUAGUAUUCAGUCUUAGAAUUUAGUAAAGAAGGUUGACAGUUCUACAGAAUCAUGGCUAUCAGUUAUUAGUUACUUAGCCAUUAAAAUUUAGUUCUUCUAUAUUAUUCUAAGCAUUUAGUUAUCAUUAUUCAGUUACCAGAACACAUUACAUCAGUGUCGAUCUAAUCCAAAUAGAUAUUAUGCAUAGCAUUGCAUAUUCAGCAUGUUCAGUAGUUACAGUUUUGCAUGUACUCUCAUCUAGUUACUUCAUGAUGUUCAUUCAGUUAGUUAUCAUCUAACGCAUAUGAACCCAUGUAUAUCAACCUACCUCCCUUAGAAUACUAGUACAUUCUGCGUACUGAUGCAUACUUUUUCAUUGCGCUAUGAUGUCUCAUAUCAUAGGUUCAGACGUACGGGUUCCCGACCAUACUUAACAGCUCAGGAUAUUAGCUGCAGAUUUAGUAGUGAGUCCUCAUCCAUCGAGGGUACUAUUUUACUUCAGUAUAUCAGUGUUUCAGUUAGGUCAGUAGUCGGAGUUAUUUGGGGACUUAUCCCAUCAACUCCUAGUCAGACAGUUAGAGGUUUUGGGACUAGACUAUUUCAGAUAGAUAUUCAGUAGUUUUUUAGUAUUAUUAUUAGUAUCCAGUUAUUAUUUUAGUAUUUUGAGAACCCUAUGGCAUUAAUAGUUAUACUUCUGCAUAUAUUUUUAGAAUUAUUAUUCAGUGCUCACAACAGGUACCAGUCAUGGGUUAGCUUGUGAUCCCUUGGGGUUGUAAGCACCGUGUGACGUCCAGGGUGUAGAAUUUGGCGUUACACCUACAUAUCUCAAAUUUUAUGAGAAGUCAGGUCAUUUGUAGUUCGAAACAAGCAAAAUUUGAUAAAUAUCAAAAUUUUCCCCAGUGUAGAAUUAUGGUGACAUUGGUUCCUUCGAGAAUAAUAACAAAAAGUUUAGCACAAACGGAAUGGAAACUGGUGCACUUAACCCUGAAUUAGUUUUUUGAGAUGGCUGGGAAUGAGGAGACAUUGGAUAGUAAUAUCUACUGAGGAUCUUAAGAGAAAAGGGGAUUGUGGGUUUUCAACUACUGCCCCAAUGUCUCAUUAAGACGACACUAGACUAUGACACUAAGGAAAAAAGAGAUGACUGACCCGAGUUGAGUUGAGUUUCUUUGUUGAAAUCCUUGACGUAGCUAGGAAUGCUUGACAUUCUGCUAGAUUGCCCCAGUUUACUACUAAGAGAGUUAUUCCAUGUUGUACCGCAUGUUUCUAUAAAAUAGGUAAAAGAGGGUGAAAAGUACCUGUUGUUCAAAAAUUUUAAAUUAAAAUUGUAAUAUAAAGAGUAGAGUUAGAUAUUCAAACUAGUAUUAUGAUCUCCAUUUGUGAAGGCCUCCGACUGACGGGGCAAUAACUGAUAUAUAAAUAGCCUCCGCCAGCUGAGCAGGUGCUUGAAAGUAAAUGCCUCCGACUGGCGGGGCAGUUUCUCAAAAAUAAAAGCCUCUGAUUGGUGGGGCGAUUGCUUGAUAGUAAGAGACUCCGUCGGCUGAGCAGUUGUUGUAAAAUCAAAGCCAUCUGACUUGUGAGCUGUUGAGCCAUACGACUGGCGAGAAACUGGAAAAUAAUCCAUCCGACUAGCGUGUAGUUAAUGAAAAAAUAAAUACCAUCCGAUUGGAGGGUAGUUGUUGAGAAGUAAGUGUCAUCCGACUGGCGAGCAGUGUUUGAAAAGUAAAGCCUCCGAUGGCGAGGUAAUUGCCUAAAAGUAGCCACCUUUUACUAAUAAGGCGACCUUCGGUCUGAACUAUAUGGUGGUAUUGCUGUUGGAAUUUGAUGCCACUGCCAUAGUGGCUUUUUUGCUGCUUACUAUGGUGUGAGUCUCUGAUUGGUAGACUGUGCUCGGUCUGCAGAAAUGUGAUUCUCUAAUAUGGCAGAGCGUUUGUUUGCUUAUGUACAUUUUUUGAUUUAUAGUAGGGUGUCCCCCUUGCUGGUGCAUGCUUCCAUUAUAGUGGAGAUUCGUAUUGCUUAUUUACAUUCUCCAAUAUGGCAGAGGGUCGCUUUGCUUGCAUUUAUACAGUCUUUGAAAUGUGGAACUCGACUUUGUUUGCUUAUGUACAAUCUUUGGAACAAGGAAGCUUGACUUUGUUGAAGUCAGACGACAUUCUUUGAUUGGUGGAGUUACUUGAUGCAUUUAGGCGAUGAUUCUUUGAUUGGGAAAGUAAUUUUAUGCAGUCAGGUGGUUAGCUUCGAUUGGUGGAGCUUAUUGGAAGAAUUGAAAUAGCCUAACUUUUCUAUAAGGGCCCUCUUUCUUCAUUGCCUCUAACACGAGUCUUUAAUGUACCUGUAAGGAUUCAAAUGAAAUGUUUAGGGCUUGUGAGGAUAAAGGUAUUCAAAAAAUGAAGUAGGGGAAGAGUAUUUUGGCUGAUGUUGCUGUGAUAAGUUGCAUGAUGUCCCUGAUUCUAUCCCAAAGCUUGACUUGAUGUCAUCUUCCAAUUCCUAUUUUCCUGCGCUCAAAGAAAAUUCUUAGUUGGGAGGGGGUGUUGAUUUGUGUCGACUUAGGAAUCCCAACUUUGUCCACGGAAUACUCCAACACUCCCUCGGCUGCUUGAUCAUUCCCCAAAUCUAGAGUCUCGGUAGGUGGGAAAGUAGGAAAGUAUUUUGAAAUAUAUAUAUGUUUUCGCAAAGGUAUUAUGUAUAUAUUAAGUAUGUAUAGUAAUCCUUUAUCGUUUUUAGAUUAUGACAUGUUCCAAAAUUUGUUAAGCCUCCGCUCAUCAAUUACGAUUCUCGUAGCUUUGUCCCUUGGGUGGAACUCCUCUGACUUUACCGAUGCUAUGGCCGUUCUGGCAGCAAGAUCGCUUAUAUUCUGGGGCUAUACUAUGAGCGAAGGGUUUUUUUCUAAAGGUAAGACCGAACCUUUAAGGUUGCCUACGUAAGCUCGAGAUAGUAAUCAGGUUUGUACGUAGUUCGAGGGUAAAGAAAAAUACAUGAAAUGCAGUGACCGAGUCUGACUCAGACUGCCUAGGUAUCCAAGUGGAAUCAGGUCAUGACGUAGUUCAAACACAACGAAAAAAGUGAAAAUAUGGAAUGCAAUGACCGAGCCUGACUCAGGCUUCUUACGUAUCCAAACGGAAUUAGGUCAUAACAUAGUUCAAUACAGGAGGAAAAGUAAAAUAAUGCAGUGACCGGUCCUGACUCAAGCUUCCUACGUAUCCAUGUGGAAUCAGGGCAAGCCGUAGUUCAGUACAAUAAAAGAGUAAAAUAUGAAGGGACCAAAUCCCCCUGAGACCUGAAAGUACUAGAAAAGGCCAUUCGCCCUCUCGAGUGAUGUACUUCCCUUGGCGAAGAUAUCUGAUGGACCAUUGGACGUUGUCAUCUCUUAAUUCCCCAAAAACCUUAAACAAAAAUUUUGGAGAUGCCUUCCUCUUAAACUUAUGCAGCAAUAACCACAUGUCAUACGAUGAUAGGAGAUCUACCCUCGUCUGAGGGUCUGGCUGCUCCUUUCUAGGAUUCUUCACUAAGUGUGUCAUCAUCCACCAUUGUAAGAUCAGGUUGCAACCCUGAAUGAAACAAUGCUCGAUUUUACACUUUUCCAAAGCCCGAUAUAUUUUAGCUACGAUCAUGGGAGCUAAGGUGUGAAAUACCUUUUUGGAACCAUAUUUCAUUCCAUAGAAGAGCAUUUACGUCACUAUAAUGACUCUUGGAUGAAUGGUGCCAUUUUAUCCUUGUGAGAACACUGUAGUUCCGAGUAGACCUACUGCAAACGCAAAUGCUCUUUUCUCCUUCCAUUUUGUCUCUGAUUCAAAUUUAUGUCCGAACUUCUUAAAAUCAUUGUAUCGUCCAAACCAGUGAUACAACUCAGGAAAAGAUAUUUUUGCCCCGUCACAUUCCCCCAACCAAGUAUCAUCAUUGAUUGAAAAGGCAUCCUUAAUCUCUUGACGGCUCCAUACAAUAGGACCUAGAACGCUUUUAUCAGGUUUACUUCUUCUCUUGACACACAUAUCAAUGCUCUCAUAACAAGCCAUUACCUUUUCAAUAGUGGGGGUCAAUUCAACGUCCCCAAAGCGAAACAUCAUAUUGCUAUCAACCCAAAAUGUCGUUAGCACAUGGAUCAUUUCAAGCCAAUCAUCCAUCUCUAUGAGCGAAGGCAGGUGCCCGAUAUGUGUACUAAUAAUCUUUUUUAUCUUCUCUGCUCAUAUGAUCCCAUCUUGCUUUCAGGAAGUUAUCAGGUCUGUAACCAUCUUGAAUCUUUCGUAGGGGUAUGGUUGGGCCAUUCCUACACUAAAGCAAACAAAGAUAUGCCUUCCCCCUACCCCGAAGAAUAUUGGAUUAGAUUCAACAAAAAUAUAUUUCUUCAACAUAUAAACAUGGUUCAUCUGUAAAUGACUCGAGGUCAAUAGAUGCAGGAAAAUUUUUCUAGUGGUCCCAUCGAGUAUUGGGUUGUCCUAGGCUCAUGCCUAAAAGAGGGUUUUUAUUUUGCUCUAUCCUAGGUGUCUAGAGUGGGUUUGAACCAGGUUCCCAAGCGGACAACUUGAAUUUGAAAAUACGAACAGCCAUCGUAUGCCUCACAUGCGGAUAAACCGUCGUAUUUUCAAUACUUUAUGUGGAAUUGAACAACAAGGGUCGGGACAUCCAUGAAACACCAAACAAUAUUUCAAAUGGGAAGUAUGCUAUGAAAUGCAAUAGUUUAAUUUUGCAGAAUUUAAACACAUAAGCACAUAAAAGUUUAAACAUUACAACAGUUAGUCAAAAGGAUCGAAUUCAAAUAUUUGGUUAGAACCUAGUUAGAAUCCCCAACAGAGUUCCAAUUUCUAUUUUGUCCCUUUAUAACUAGGAGGGAUGAAAAACAUUGGUUUUGUCCUUUUAAACUAUUUCAAAACUUUAAAAAAAAUUAAAACAAUCUAAGAAAUUACAGAGUCGCCACUUAAUUUAUUUAAAAAAAAAUUAAGAAAACUUUUAAAGAAAGUCCUAAGUCUUAAAACAGAAAAAGACAUAGGCUUUUUAAGAAAAUCCUAGGUAAGAGGUUCUUAUUAACAUUUUAGGAAGAUUUUUAAGGCACCUAAAAUGUCCGCUAACUUGCGGUUAUCCAAACUAUUUAAAAGGGAUUCUUUGACUAACUUAGAGAAAAAAAGUUGAUUGUUUUAGAAAAAGAAAUUGAUAAAGAAAAUAUUUUUUGAGGUUUAUGCAAAAAAAUAGCUUUUUGACAACUUAGUAAGGUAUUUAACUAGUUCUAAGCAAGCUAAAGUCAAAUAGCACGAAAAGGGGAAAGGGGAGAAUGAGAAGACUUAGGCUCGUAAGCCCAAAUCCAUCGAUCUUGUCCUAAUUUAAUUGGGCUUUGGCCCACCUGCACCUAUCCUAAUCUAUUCAUUUGGGCUUUCGGCCCGUCAUCACCUAUCUUAAUCUAAAUAUUGGGUUUUUGGCCCAUAACCUCUCCUAAACUAUAUUUUUGGACCAUUUGGCCCAAAAUUUGCUUCACUUAUAUUAGUUUACAACUUUGGCUUUGAGGCCCAAAUGAACAAAGAGAUAAGUAACUAAAUAAAUAAAUAAAUGAAAUCUGGAAAACAAAAUGAAUAAAAUUGAUACUUUAGAGUCUCUUAGCAACUUUGUCAAUAGGUUUCGACCUAUUUCUUCUUCUCCCAGCUUUUUGUAUCCAUGCGCGAUGUAAUUUGACUUUGGAAUUUCUUUCGCUCUUGACUCGAAAGAUGGGCCUCAUUGGCCCAUGAGGAGUAUGCAAAAGGAUAAGAGUCCAUGUAGGACUUAAAUGAUUUCCAUGUAAAGAAAGAAAAAUAAAGCACAUUAAAACAUAAUCGACAAAAGGAAGGGAGGGAGGAAGGGUAAAAGAAGUCAACACAUGAUCAACCAAAGUGGAAAAACUAAAGUAGUUAAUACAUGAUCAACCAAACAAGGAAAUAAAAUAUAUAAAAAAAAUUAAUACAUGGUUAACUACAUAAACAAAGUAACAGGGAUCCCAACAAAUAGUCAAAAGCCCCUUGGACGUAAUAAGACAUAUUCAUAUCAAUUAAACAAAGAAGGAACAUAUGCAAAAAGGUUGGAUCUUACAUUUUAGCUCAUCCAAUAUUUCUCCAAAAUGGUAAAAAGCAGAUUCAAGAACAUAAAGGCAAAGCAUGUACAAUCUUUCUAACUAACUUGGAACAAUCAUUUAGAUAUAUGGAGAUAAGAUGAUAACACACUUUAAUCAAAAUGAAACAUCAUAGAGACUUAAUAUAUAUAUAUAUAUAUAUAUAUAUAUAAGCAACAACGUGUGUCGAUAAAGCAAAUGAUUUUCAUGCAACGAAAGAAAAAUAAAUCACAUUAAUACAUAAUCGACAAAAGGAAGGGAGGAAAAACUAAAGUAGUUAAUACAUGAUCAACCAAAGAAGAAAGAAAAUAUGAAGAAAAUUAAUACAUGGUUAACUACAUAAACGAAGUAACAAGGAUCCUAACAAAUAGUCAAAAGCCGAUUGGACGUAAUAAGACAUAGUCAUAUAAAUUAAACAAAGGGCCAUAUACAAAAAGGUUGGAUCUUACAUUUCAGCUAAUCCAAUAUUUCUCAAUGGUAAAAAGCAUAUUCAAGAACAUAAAGGCAAAACAUGUAUCAUCUUCCUAACUAACUUGGAACAAUCAUUUAGAUAUGUGGAGAUAAGAUGAUAACAUACUUCAAUCUACUUGAAACAUCAUAGAAACUUAAUAUAUAUAUAAGAAACAACGUGUGUUGAUAAGGAGACUUAUAAAGGAAAGAACCACUUAGUUACUAUACAAGAUGACUAUGGCGAAGACAUAUCAGCUAACUGUUAGUAAUACUCUUACAACAUCAGCACAUUAUCGAGAAAGGGACUCAAUAUACCGAAUUAAUAUCGAACACUUCAAGCAAUCAUGUUAUACUUCUAACUAAACAGAUUAAAGAAGUAAAACACUAGACAUGAGUAGGAUUUUAAUUUGUAAGGAAAACAUAGUGUUAUACUAGGCAAAGACUUCAAGUUACAUCAAACAUAGCACAUCUGAAAAAUGCGACUUUUGACUUACAGUAAUGAGAAACCAGUUUGUACUAAAAAUUUAAGCACAUUAGGACCUUUUACCACAUACGAAUUCCUAAAAAACGACCACAAUAACAAGAAAAAAGACAAAAAACCAAAGUAGGGGAAACUAAAAAUUUUACAAAACUGAAUAGCCCGAGGGAAAUUACAUAUCUACUACAUUCAAACAUGUUUAGACGAUUUUACAUAACAAAAUAGUGUUGGUUAAGUGAAAAAAAUGCAUAAAACACAGGAUUUUGGGUCGUUUAGGGCCUAUUCUAUCCUUUUCUCCACAAGUCAUUAAACUGAAACAUCAAAAUAUCCUAGAGUAAUUCUAAGUUCAUUUCUCCCAUUUGACAUUUAGAGACGAAGAAUGUUUAGAAAACAGUUGCUAUCAACCCAAAGACAACAAAGAAACUAGAAUGUUGAUUAAAUGUAAAGAAACUAUUCUAAGCUACAACCAUUAAAGUCAGGUUUACAGACGAACAAAUAAAAUAAAAGAAAUUCAAGAUAAAAAGAGACAACCAAACUUAAAGCUAUGACAAUGCUCGACUAAAGCAAAACAGGCAGAUAUUAGAUUAAAAGAAGAAAAUGUGUCAAAUUUAGAGAUGACUAUCAUGCUAAAAAUAAAAGACAAUGACCACAGAUUUUAUGCCAAAGAAAACAUCAUCUAAAGCAAAAAGUGAACUUAAAGACUAACUAGAAGUCGUCAAAUCGAGAACGAAAGGAACAUCAUCUCAAACAACAAUCGCAAUCCCUUCACGAUACCCUACGACUCUCAAGGUCUCUACAGUAAACAAUUCCCAGCAUACAAUACACUAAUCAAAACUACUAUGACUACAACUAUUACAACACGACAAUACGAGAAAAGAAGAAUCGAAGACUAACCAUUUCUUGGGCAGCAAAAUGAGACCUCCAUCUUUAUCGAAGUCCGCCACCACCUAAACACGUCGCCAUCAACUCGAGAACUUCGAUUAGAUAUCGAAUUUCAAGAAAAAAAAUUUUACUAGCAGAAUGGACUACUUUUGCUCAAGAUUUUUUUCCCACCCUCAAGGCUUACCAUUUCAACUCAAGAAUGAGCUAUUUAUAGCAAACAAAAUGGGGCAAUUUUUUGAUCUCCCACCGAUAUGGGAGCAAAAAAUUGGGGGUAAUUUUGGAAUUCUCAAUAGAAAUUUUUGAAUUUUGAAAUAGGAUAAGAGAUGAGCUAUAUGAAAUCGUACGGAUGCUGAGAUGGAUUUGAUUUCGUACGUUAUUGUUGAAGUUGUUUGUACGAGUUUGCUGACUGGAAUAGGAUCGGGUCAUCGGGGUUUUUUGGAGUUGUUGACAUUGUUGGGUUACUGUUGCUCAGCUAUUUGUCGUUUCUGCUGAAAUUGUUGUGAUGUUGAUAGCGGUUGGACGCUAUGGGAUUCGCAGGUUAGUAAUUUUGUUUGGUUGUUGUUGUCGCGUAUUAUUGUUGUACUGUUGUUGCGAGUGUUCUGAAGUUGAAGAAGAAAAAGAACGGGUUGGGUCUUGGAUAUUUAGGCUGCUAGUUCGGCUGAUUGGAGUGGGAUGUUAGAGUGUUGUUGAGCCUGGUUGGGUCAGCCGUGGCAUAGUUAAAUUGGUAGAUUUAGGUGAGUUUUGGGGUUAUUUAAAAAAUAAUCC